CAGAGGGGGAGUCAGUCUAAGGUCGUGACAUCGUGUCACAACGACUGACUGACCCGCAUCGUGCGAC
RNAcentral lists this small RNA (67 nucleotides) under Psychrobacillus psychrodurans. Its description in RNAcentral is "Bacillaceae-1 RNA". It matches the Rfam family "Bacillaceae-1 RNA". Lineage: Bacteria; Bacillati; Bacillota; Bacilli; Caryophanales; Bacillaceae. The record is from RNAcentral.